AGUAGAAGGAGGCAGAAAGAGGUGCUCUGCUUUUAGCAGUCGUGAGCAGGUUCAGCUUGCCGCCCCAACCUCCCUAGAGCAGGCCUUGGCCCCCAAGAUGGCCUGCAUGCCGAUGGAAGAGGAGGACAGCAAUGGAGAUGAGGGUGUCACGCUGUCGGGCAAACCAUGCCAGAGAGAGGGGAGAGACUGAUGGAACUGCGGAAGCCCCGGUCAUCUGCAAGCCCGAUGCUGCACCAGCCCGGUACCGUCGGCAUCAGAAAGUGUCCAGCCAACAGGGAAACGAAAGCGGAGUGGCAUAGACAGGGAACUGCCGCUGAUGGUAUAUGGCAUAGGCCUACCUGCAAAAGGAAACAUUAUAGAGGGGGGUGGGGGAAUAAUAUAAAUGCCAUACUUCUACAAAGCGCCCUACCUGGACCUCUUUGGUUUCGAACAAAAAAACGUUUGACUUUAGUCUCUACAAAGCGCCAGUGUUUCAGCUCCUGUCACUGCUCUUAUUAAUUCCCAGGAAGCACUUCCCCGAUACACUGUACCUGCCAAUUUCAU
Molecule: long non-coding RNA, 543 nt
Organism: Acipenser ruthenus (sterlet)
Lineage: Eukaryota; Metazoa; Chordata; Actinopteri; Acipenseriformes; Acipenseridae
Exons: 2
Source: RefSeq, a predicted model, not a curated record